CCAUGUUUGUAUGCGGCUUUAUUAAUUAUUAUUUUUUAGAUUGUUUGCAAACUGAUAUGUGACACGUAUUAAUGCCAAAAUAACUAAACAGGGUGGGCUCAAAACAGGUGGGGCUCUGCCCUGAUUGACAGGUCGCCACUGGCCCUAUAUAGAUGUCUGAGCCAUAUGUAAACAAUAAGUAGAUGUCCUAACCGACUUGCCAAAACUAUAGUUUGUUAACAAUACAUUUGUGGAGUGGUUGAAAUACGAGUUUUAAAGACUUCAACCUAAGUGUAUGUUAACUUCCGACUUCAACUGUGUCCUAUAUAUAUAUAUAUAUAUAUAUAUAUAUAUAUAUAUCUCCUAUAUAUUGAUGUCCUAGCCCUAUAUACAUUAAUUAUAGAUGUCCUAGCCCUAAAUAUAUAUAUUUAUAUAUAAUGUCCUAGCCUACCUCUUUCAGGUAAUACAUUCAAUUCAGUAUUAGCCUUAUAUUAUAGCCUUAUAUAUAUAUAUAUAUAUGUUAAUUAAUUAUGGAUUAUGUCUAAUAAGCUUCAAAUUUAUAGCUUCUGUCUCUUGCGUAAUACCCAAGCGCCUGAGCUCCGCUCGCCUCCCCUUUAAAAAACGCUCCUUAGCUCUUGGUCCCAUGCAGGAAAAACUAGAAUAUGUUUUUGGGGUAUUAUUUUUUUAGCAUUUCUUAUACCAAUAGAAGGAUCCUUCUUUUCUGCCGAAUGUUACAUACAGCAGCCAAUAGCACUUGCGGGUUUGAAAGAAGCGCGAAUGACCAAUGACGGUAGACUAUAGCAGUUAUUUAUUCAGACCCAUAAACAUUCAAUCUCCGUGAAGAGACUUGAGGGCCUAUAUAGCUAGCAUAAUAACUGCUUAUGAAGAAUAAAGUCUAUUGUUUAGAGACGGAAGAUAGAUAGCGUUAGAGAACAGGAGACAUUUUAACUGCUAAGUUUUCCCGGGUCUGUCGGAGCUUUGUUAUCCAGCCGUUCUUAUUUUCUCACUCUCCUUCCCCUCCUUUCCCUUUAGAGUGUCUUGCUGAGUUUGCGGUGCAUUCGAUCACUGGCCUCCAUCUGAGCCUUGCUGUCCAGCAGUUGUUCUAGCUGUCUUCUCAUCUGAGCCAUGUCCAGCUGGGUGGCUUGACACUGUU
Long non-coding RNA from Oncorhynchus tshawytscha (Chinook salmon), 1132 nucleotides. The record is from Ensembl. NCBI's taxonomy places the organism in Eukaryota, Metazoa, Chordata, Actinopteri, Salmoniformes, Salmonidae.